GGGAAUGUGGCUUAGUGGUAGAGUGCUUGCCUACCAUGCAUGAAGCCCUAGGUUCGAUUCCUCAGUACCA
RNAcentral lists this transfer RNA (70 nucleotides) under Dipodomys ordii (Ord's kangaroo rat). It matches the Rfam family "tRNA". From Rfam's summary of the family: Transfer RNA (tRNA) molecules are approximately 80 nucleotides in length. Their secondary structure includes four short double-helical elements and three loops (D, anti-codon, and T loops). The record is from Rfam by way of RNAcentral. Lineage: Eukaryota; Metazoa; Chordata; Mammalia; Rodentia; Heteromyidae.